AAUGUAUUUCCUCCGUCCAACAAAGGAUAUGUCCCAAUUUUAAUUUAAUUUGAAUGGCUCUAUACACAAAGUUAUGUGUAGAUACAUCCAAAUUUUAACAAACUUGAGACAUCUUUUGUCGGACGGAGGGAGUACAUA
This is a non-coding RNA of Brachypodium distachyon (stiff brome), 138 nucleotides long. NCBI's taxonomy places the organism in Eukaryota, Viridiplantae, Streptophyta, Magnoliopsida, Poales, Poaceae. The record is from Rfam.